RNAcentral lists this ribosomal RNA (951 nucleotides) under Escherichia coli. RNAcentral describes it as "partial 23S ribosomal RNA". It matches the Rfam family "Bacterial large subunit ribosomal RNA", at positions 315 to 1268 of the family's 2925-position model. The record is from RNAcentral. Lineage: Bacteria; Pseudomonadati; Pseudomonadota; Gammaproteobacteria; Enterobacterales; Enterobacteriaceae.
AAUCAGUGUGUGUGUUAGUGGAAGCGUCUGGAAAGGCGCGCGAUACAGGGUGACAGCCCCGUACACAAAAAUGCACAUGCUGUGAGCUCGAUGAGUAGGGCGGGACACGUGGUAUCCUGUCUGAAUAUGGGGGGACCAUCCUCCAAGGCUAAAUACUCCUGACUGACCGAUAGUGAACCAGUACCGUGAGGGAAAGGCGAAAAGAACCCCGGCGAGGGGAGUGAAAAAGAACCUGAAACCGUGUACGUACAAGCAGUGGGAGCACGCUUAGGCGUGUGACUGCGUACCUUUUGUAUAAUGGGUCAGCGACUUAUAUUCUGUAGCAAGGUUAACCGAAUAGGGGAGCCGAAGGGAAACCGAGUCUUAACUGGGCGUUAAGUUGCAGGGUAUAGACCCGAAACCCGGUGAUCUAGCCAUGGGCAGGUUGAAGGUUGGGUAACACUAACUGGAGGACCGAACCGACUAAUGUUGAAAAAUUAGCGGAUGACUUGUGGCUGGGGGUGAAAGGCCAAUCAAACCGGGAGAUAGCUGGUUCUCCCCGAAAGCUAUUUAGGUAGCGCCUCGUGAAUUCAUCUCCGGGGGUAGAGCACUGUUUCGGCAAGGGGGUCAUCCCGACUUACCAACCCGAUGCAAACUGCGAAUACCGGAGAAUGUUAUCACGGGAGACACACGGCGGGUGCUAACGUCCGUCGUGAAGAGGGAAACAACCCAGACCGCCAGCUAAGGUCCCAAAGUCAUGGUUAAGUGGGAAACGAUGUGGGAAGGCCCAGACAGCCAGGAUGUUGGCUUAGAAGCAGCCAUCAUUUAAAGAAAGCGUAAUAGCUCACUGGUCGAGUCGGCCUGCGCGGAAGAUGUAACGGGGCUAAACCAUGCACCGAAGCUGCGGCAGCGACGCUGAUGCGUUGUUGGGUAGGGGAGCGUUCUGUAAGCCUGCGAAGGUGUGCUGUGAGG